UGAAGUUGCUGAUGCCAUACUUCCAGGAAAAGCCUCUAAGCUUCAGAUUAUACCGAAUCGUACCCCAAACCGACACAGGUGGUCAGGUAGAGAAUACUAAGGCGCUUGAGAGAACUCGGGUGAAGGAACUAGGCAAAAUCGUACCGUAACUUCGGGAGAAGGUACGCUCCUAUCUGUGAUGAGACUUGCUCUCUAAGCGGACGGGAGCCGCAGUGACCAGGUGGCUGGGACUGUUUAUUAAAAACACAGCACUGUGCAAAAUCGCAAGAUGACGUAUACGGUGUGACACCUGCCCGGUGCCGGAAGGUUAAUUGAUGGGGUUAUCUUCGGAGAAGCUCUUGAUCGAAGCCCCGGUAAACGGCGGCCGUAACUAUAACGGUCCUAAGGUAGCGAAAUUCCUUGUCGGGUAAGUUCCGACCUGCACGAAUGGUGUAACCAUGGCCACGCUGUCUCCACCCGAGACUCAGUGAAAUUGAAAUCGCAGUGAAGAUGCUGUGUACCCGCGGCUAGACGGAAAGACCCCGUGAACCUUUACUACAGCUUGGCACUGAACAUUGAACCUACAUGUGUAGGAUAGGUGGGAGACUUUGAAGAUGAGACGCUAGUCUUGUUGGAGUCGUCCUUGAAAUACCACCCUUGUAGUUUUGAUGUUCUAACGUUGGCCCCUGAAUCGGGGUUACGGACAGUGCCUGGUGGGUAGUUUGACUGGGGCGGUCUCCUCCCAAAGAGUAACGGAGGAGCACGAAGGUUGGCUAAGUACGGUCGGACAUCGUACGGUUAGUGUAAUGGUAGAAGCCAGCUUAACUGCGAGACAGACACGUCGAGCAGGUACGAAAGUAGGUCAUAGUGAUCCGGUGGUUCUGAAUGGAAGGGCCAUCGCUCAACGGAUAAAAGGUACUCCGGGGAUAACAGGCUGAUACCGCCCAAGAGUUCAUAUCGACGGCGGUGUUUGGCACCUCGAUGUCGGCUCAUCACAUCCUGGGGCUGAAGUCGGUCCCAAGGGUAUGGCUGUUCGCCAUUUAAAGUGGUACGCGAGCUGGGUUUAGAACGUCGUGAGACAGUUCGGUCCCUAUCUGCCGUGGGCGUUUGAGAAUUGAGAGGGGUUGCUCCUAGUACGAGAGGACCGGAGUGAACGAACCGCUGGUGUUCGGGUUGUCAUGCCAAUGGCAUUGCCCGGUAGCUACGUUCGGAACUGAUAAGCGCUGAAAGCAUCUAAGCGCGAAGCAGGCCUCGAGAUGAGUUCUCACUAGACUUUUAAAGUCUCUGAAGGGCCGUUGAAGACUACAACGUUGAUAGGCAAGAUGUGGAAGUGGUGUGAGCCAUUAAGCUAACUUGUACUAAUUACCCGUGAGGCUUAACCAU
This 1362-nucleotide ribosomal RNA is filed under the name Pseudoalteromonas marina. RNAcentral's name for it is "partial 23S ribosomal RNA". It matches the Rfam family "Bacterial large subunit ribosomal RNA", at positions 1586 to 2925 of the family's 2925-position model. The record is from RNAcentral. Lineage: Bacteria; Pseudomonadati; Pseudomonadota; Gammaproteobacteria; Alteromonadales; Pseudoalteromonadaceae.